This 253-nucleotide ribosomal RNA is filed under the name uncultured bacterium. RNAcentral's name for it is "partial 16S ribosomal RNA". It matches the Rfam family "Bacterial small subunit ribosomal RNA", at positions 524 to 776 of the family's 1533-position model. The record is from RNAcentral.
UACGUAGGGAGCAAGCGUUGUCCGGAAUUACUGGGCGUAAAGAGCUCGUAGGCGGUUUGUCGCGUCUGCUGUGAAAACCUAAGGCUCAACCUUGGGCUUGCAGUGGGUACGGGCAGACUAGAGUGCGGUAGGGGUGACUGGAAUUCCUGGUGUAGCGGUGGAAUGCGCAGAUAUCAGGAGGAACACCGAUGGCGAAGGCAGGUCACUGGGCCGCAACUGACGCUGAGGAGCGAAAGCAUGGGGAGCGAACAGG